CCCUUAGAUGUCCGGGGCUGCACGCGCGCUACACUGAAGGGAUCAGCGUGCUAAAACCAUUGUCGAAAGGCAUUGGUAAACCCAUUAAAAUCCUACGUGAUUGGGAUCGGGAAUUGCAAUUAUUUCCCUUGAACGAGGAAUUCCCAGUAAGUGUGGGUCAUAAGCUCGCGUUGAUUACGUCCCUGCCCUUUGUACACACCGCCCGUCGCUGCCCGGGACUGAGCCGUUUCGAGAAAAGCGGGGACUGCUGCUGUCGGGGCUUUCGGGCCUUGGCUUCGGUGGAAACCGCUUUAAUCGCAGUGGCUUGAACCGGGCAAAAGUCGUAACA
This 328-nucleotide ribosomal RNA is filed under the name uncultured eukaryote. RNAcentral's name for it is "partial 18S ribosomal RNA". It matches the Rfam family "Eukaryotic small subunit ribosomal RNA", at positions 1470 to 1796 of the family's 1831-position model. The record is from RNAcentral.